UAUUAUUAAUUUAAUUUUUUUUAAUUAAAAUAUUAAUUUUUAAAAAAUUAAAUAAAUUGGCAGUAUUUUUAAAAAUUAGAGGAUCUUGUUUUUUAAUAGAUAAUACACAAUAUAAUGAACUUAUGUUAUAUUAAAUUAUAUAUUGUUGUCAAUAAUAGUUUUAAAAAAAAUUAUUUUUAUUUUAAAAAUAUUAUGUCAAAUCAUAAUAUAUUUUAUAUAUAAGAAUAUAAUGAGAUACAUUUAAUUUAUUUAUUUAUUAAAAUUUGUAAUAAUUUUUUAAAAUUGGAUUUAAAAUUAAAAUUUAAUAAAUUUUAAAUUUGAAUAAAUUUAAAAAUGAGUAC
This 341-nucleotide ribosomal RNA is filed under the name Contarinia asclepiadis. RNAcentral's name for it is "partial 12S ribosomal RNA". Lineage: Eukaryota; Metazoa; Arthropoda; Insecta; Diptera; Cecidomyiidae. The record is from RNAcentral.